UACGGAGGGGGCGAGCGUUAUUCGGAAUUAUUGGGCGUAAAGGGCGCGUAGGCGGCCGGAUAAGUCAAAGGUGAAAUCCCUCGGCUCAACUGAGGAACUGCCUUUGAAACUGUUUGGCUCGAGUCCGGGAGGGGGUAGCGGAAUUCCCAGUGUAGCGGUGAAAUGCGUAGAUAUUGGGAGGAACACCAGUGGCGAAGGCGGCUACCUGGACCGGAACUGACGCUGAUGCGCGAAAGCGUGGGGAGCGAACAGG
This 253-nucleotide ribosomal RNA is filed under the name uncultured bacterium. Its description in RNAcentral is "partial 16S ribosomal RNA". It matches the Rfam family "Bacterial small subunit ribosomal RNA", at positions 524 to 776 of the family's 1533-position model. The record is from RNAcentral.